GACGAACGCUGGCGGCGUGCUUAACACAUGCAAGUCGAACGGAAAGGCCCUGCUUUUGUGGGGUGCUCGAGUGGCGAACGGGUGAGUAACACGUGAGUAACCUGCCCUUGACUUUGGGAUAACUUCAGGAAACUGGGGCUAAUACCGGAUAGGAGCUCCUGCUGCAUGGUGGGGGUUGGAAAGUUUCGGCGGUUGGGGAUGGACUCGCGGCUUAUCAGCUUGUUGGUGGGGUAGUGGCUUACCAAGGCUUUGACGGGUAGCCGGCCUGAGAGGGUGACCGGCCACAUUGGGACUGAGAUACGGCACAGACUCCUACGGGAGGCAGCAGUGGGGAAUAUUGCACAAUGGGCGGAAGCCUGAUGCAGCCACGCCGCGUGCGGGAUGACGGCCUUCGGGUUGUAAAACGCUUUCGCCUGUGACGAAGCGUGAGUGACGGUAAUGGGUAAAGAAGCACCGGCUAACUACGUG
Molecule: ribosomal RNA, 468 nt
Filed under: uncultured bacterium
Lineage: Bacteria
Description: partial 16S ribosomal RNA
Rfam family: Bacterial small subunit ribosomal RNA
Source: RNAcentral